GCCGCGGUGGUCUAGCGGUUAGAACGCUGGCCUUGUAAUCCUGGAGUCUCGGGUUCGAUUCCCGGCGGUGCCC
This 73-nucleotide transfer RNA is filed under the name Zootermopsis nevadensis. It matches the Rfam family "tRNA". Rfam says of the family: Transfer RNA (tRNA) molecules are approximately 80 nucleotides in length. Their secondary structure includes four short double-helical elements and three loops (D, anti-codon, and T loops). The record is from Rfam by way of RNAcentral. Lineage: Eukaryota; Metazoa; Arthropoda; Insecta; Blattodea; Termopsidae.